Molecule: long non-coding RNA, 1123 nt
Organism: Alligator sinensis (Chinese alligator)
Lineage: Eukaryota; Metazoa; Chordata; Crocodylia; Alligatoridae
Exons: 3
Source: RefSeq, a predicted model, not a curated record
GAAGUAUUUUCUUUUCCUCUCUCUUUCUCUUCGCAGUCUCUUCUCUUUUUGUAGGUUGUCAGGGAACAUCAACCAACUGCCAGGUGCUGGAAGUCACCGUGAAGGAACAUUUUCAUCUGCAGAUGGAAAAAUAAACUGGCAAACAAACAGGAUCUUCCUUCAUAGAUAGAAGAAGCUCCAAGGGAAUGGACUGAAAGUUAACAUCCUUAAGUAUAAAAAAACAGAAUGCACAAGUUUUUCCUCCUUAUGCCAAUGUCAGCAGGAGCAGCAUGAUAUUUCCACUCUUCUAGCAUCUUCUGCCAUGAUUAUGUUACUGUUCCUACCUCAAAAUGGGGACAGUAACAUUCUUCAACAAAUAUUGCUAUUUUAAAUGUAGAUUGCCAUGCCAUAAUGUUGACAUAUUUGUUGAAUAUAAUCUCUUGAAUAUAAUUUGUUGAAUAAUUUCAGGUGGCUCUGGCUUGAAAAAAAGUGAACUGCUUCCUAAGUAUUCUACCAUUGUUGUUGUAAUGUUAUUUUGCACAAAUGCUUAGCAUCAGGAUAUCCUGACCCUUGGAACAAAGGGGUUAAGAACAAAGAAAACAAAUAGAUGAUAUACAGUAAUACACCACAUUCAUAUAACACAUGGUUGCAGUUCCAUGAGAAGGAUGAGCGUUAUUGUUUUAUCCUAAGUUGGUAUAAUUUUAGUUGGCUUAUUAUGACUGUUUUAUGCUGUUGUUGCUUUUUCUAUUACUGGAGUAAGUUGUGCAGUUGCAUUUAAAGUAACAGUACAUUGUUAGGAGGGGGUGAACUGUUUUAUCUGCAGGAAUAAAGACCCAGACUUCUGCCUGAUGUCCAAAAAACCCUACGCUUCUUUUUUAUUUUAAAGCUGGGACAAGAAGCAGAAGUGCCAAAGUACUGUGAAAGAAAGGCCGUCCUUGUGGUAUUUUCAGCUUGAUCGGAAACAGAAAGUAUCAGAACUCUCACAAGACCACUUACUCCGAUGUCCAGCCCAAGUUUGAGAUAAGCAUCUGAACACUGAGGUGCCUAACUAAACUAGACAUGCAACCUGAACAAUCUAAUCUUCCGAGGUCUGUCCAACACUGUAACAGACACCAACAGGACCAAGAGAAAAGUUCAUUAAACA